UGAAACAUCUAAGUACCUGAAGGAAGAGAAAGAAAUUCGAUUCCGUAAGUAGCGGCGAGCGAACGCGGAUUAGCCAAAACCAAUAAAGUUUUCUUUAUUGGGGUUGCGGACAUAUCAUAACGAAGAGGUAUCGUAAUUGAAGAGGUUUGGAAAGACCCACCACAGAAGGUAAUAGUCCUGUAUGUUAAACGAGAAGACUUUA
This 202-nucleotide ribosomal RNA is filed under the name Clostridioides difficile. Its description in RNAcentral is "partial 23S ribosomal RNA". It matches the Rfam family "Bacterial large subunit ribosomal RNA", at positions 194 to 397 of the family's 2925-position model. The record is from RNAcentral. Lineage: Bacteria; Bacillati; Bacillota; Clostridia; Peptostreptococcales; Peptostreptococcaceae.